Molecule: transfer RNA, 62 nt
Filed under: Ornithodoros compactus
Lineage: Eukaryota; Metazoa; Arthropoda; Arachnida; Ixodida; Argasidae
Description: tRNA-Cys
Source: RNAcentral
AAUCAUAUAGUUUAAAUAAAAUGUUAAAUUGCAAGUUUAAAGAUGGUCAAUUCCUAAGAUUU